Molecule: transfer RNA, 73 nt
Filed under: Solirubrobacterales bacterium
Lineage: Bacteria; Bacillati; Actinomycetota; Thermoleophilia; Solirubrobacterales
Also listed under: 1 other name
Description: tRNA-Thr
Rfam family: tRNA
About the family: Transfer RNA (tRNA) molecules are approximately 80 nucleotides in length. Their secondary structure includes four short double-helical elements and three loops (D, anti-codon, and T loops).
Source: RNAcentral
GCCGACGUAGCUCAGCUGGUAGAGCACAUCACUCGUAAUGAUGGGGUCAGGGGUUCAAGUCCCCUCGUCGGCU